GGAACUUCACGGCUAGCUGCUUCUUGAGGAUGCGCCGUUGCUGGGGGUCGGGAAGGAAAUAAAUGCAAGCACUGAAUUUAUCAUCUCUCACCUGGUAGUUUCGGAACCAGAUCCUGUUGUCAAGGACGGAGAACGUGUAGAUGUGGUCGAAAAAUGGCUGGCUCUUGGGGUGAAGAUUAGGAGUGCUGAAUAUCUGCCGUGCAAAAGAUGUCAGAAUGUUGCAACUUCAUCGCACCCUGGACGAAAGUUGGUCAGCAGAAAAUCUGUGUGCUUGGUGACGUCAUGAAAUUUGAUCUGAGCUUGAAUUAUCUCUGGCGUGCC
Molecule: long non-coding RNA, 321 nt
Organism: Acanthaster planci (crown-of-thorns starfish)
Lineage: Eukaryota; Metazoa; Echinodermata; Asteroidea; Valvatida; Acanthasteridae
Source: RefSeq, a predicted model, not a curated record